AAGGAUUUAAGUUAAACAAACUAGUAGACUUCAAACCUACCAAUAAAAAUUAUUUUAAGCCUUA
RNAcentral lists this transfer RNA (64 nucleotides) under Oxyomus sylvestris. Its description in RNAcentral is "tRNA-Trp". The record is from RNAcentral. Lineage: Eukaryota; Metazoa; Arthropoda; Insecta; Coleoptera; Scarabaeidae.